This 1224-nucleotide long non-coding RNA is filed under the name Sus scrofa (pig). RNAcentral's name for it is "lncRNA (ENSSSCG00055015615.1)". The record is from RNAcentral. Lineage: Eukaryota; Metazoa; Chordata; Mammalia; Artiodactyla; Suidae.
UCACCUUUGCAUCCCCAACUUUAUUCUGCAGAAGAAAGCAGCCAAUGGAAGAAGCGGAUCUAGGAGGCAGCGGUAACCAUCACCUCAUGCUCCAGGCUUCUCACACGCUUGCAAACAUGUGCAUCAUCAUUAAAAUGCAGAUUCUCAUCCAGAGGCCUUGGGUGGAGCCCAAGAUUCAGAGUUUAUCCCAAGCUCGCAGGUGUUGCCCAGGUCCCUGAGCACACCGUGAGCUGAAAAGCAUUGCAGAGCCCAGGAUCGUAUGGUUAGCAGAUGAUAGAGCCAUACUUGAGCCCUGAUCUGAUUGACCCCGCAGAUAUCUCAACCCCAUCUUUAAUGGCCAGUUCAUCACACUAAGGGGAAGGAGAUGUUUGAUUUUGUCUGAAUGCAAAAAGUUCAGUAGAUCCUAGAGGAAGCCUCCAGAGACUCGUUACAGAGCAAAGAAGAGGUUCUAAGGUGGAUGGGAAUCUUCACCCCCACAGAGAAGGAUGUGUGUCCAUGAGGAAAGGUGCCUUAAAAAUACUGGCCGAAUCAAAGCAAACAAGUGAACUUGAAAAUGGACCACAAAGAAAGAUGAACACAUUGCCCUGGAUGAACACAUCCUUCGGUGAGUUGAUAAGAUGUGCUCUUGCCUGAGGUCUCCACAGGAUGCUACCCGUGGAGGAAAGUGAUAGUCCUUCCUGAAGGGACCACUCAGCAUCAUCUUAUAUAACAUGUGAACAGGGCUGUAAUGCAGUGGAAGCUUAUAAAUGAUCUUGCUGUAUAAAGUAGCCUUGUUUGCCUGCACUGGACACUAAGCUAUGCAGAGUUUGUGUUAGGAAAGCAGCCCUGACACCAAACAUUUGAUCUGUCAAUUUAGUCUUGGAUUUUGGGAAUUUUCUCCACAUCCACUUCACGAGAAAGGCCAUUGCGUCACUACCAAGUGUUGAGUACAUUUUGAAAGGCACUUGAAUCUUACAAGUCUCCCCUCUGCAGAUCUGUGCGUGAAUGACACAAACUGGAGAGCCUAAGAAGGGUGAGCCAAGGCAGAUGCUUUACAGUUGAACUUAAAAGGCAAUUCUGAGGAUCACUUAAAAAACCAAAACUAAAUAUAGAACAACCAUAUCACCCAGCAAUCCCACUUCUGGGCAUAUAUCUGGACAAAACUAUAAUUAAUAGAGAUCCAUGCACCCUGAUGUUCAUUGCAGUACUAUUCACAAUAGCCAAGACACAGAAGCAACCAAAAUG